Molecule: ribosomal RNA, 252 nt
Filed under: uncultured bacterium
Lineage: Bacteria
Description: partial 16S ribosomal RNA
Rfam family: Bacterial small subunit ribosomal RNA
Source: RNAcentral
UACGUAUGGUGCAAGCGUUAUCCGGAUUUAUUGGGUUUAAAGGGUGCGUAGGCGGAUCGUUAAGUCAGUGGUCAAAUUGAGGGGCUCAACCCCUUCCCGCCAUUGAAACUGGCGAUCUUGAGUGGAAGAGAAGUAUGCGGAAUGCGUGGUGUAGCGGUGAAAUGCAUAGAUAUCACGCAGAACCCCGAUUGCGAAGGCAGCAUGCCGGCUUCCUACUGACGCUGAAGCACGAAAGCGUGGGGAUCGAACAGG